Molecule: ribosomal RNA, 504 nt
Filed under: uncultured bacterium
Lineage: Bacteria
Description: partial 16S ribosomal RNA
Rfam family: Bacterial small subunit ribosomal RNA
Source: RNAcentral
AUUGAACGCUGGCGGCAGGCCUAACACAUGCAAGUCGAACGGUAGCACAGAGAGCUUGCUCUCGGGUGACGAGUGGCGGACGGGUGAGUAACGUCUGGGAAACUGCCCGAUGGAGGGGGAUAACUACUGGAAACGGUAGCUAAUACCGCAUAACGUCGCAAGACCAAAGUGGGGGACCUUCGGGCCUCACACCAUCGGAUGUGCCCAGAUGGGAUUAGUUAGUAGGUGGGGUAAUGGCUCACCUAGGCGACGAUCCCUAGCUGGUCUGAGAGGAUGGCCGGCCACACUGGAAAUGAGAAACGGUCCAGACUCCUACGGGAGGCAGCAGUGGGGAAUAUUGCACAAUGGGCGCAAGCCUGAUGCAGCCAUGCCGCGUGUAUGAAGAAGGCCUUCGGGUUGUAAAGUACUUUCAGCGGGGAGGAAGGCGGUGAAGUUAAUAGCUUCACCGAUUGACGUUACCCGCAGAAGAAGCACCGGCUAACUCCGUGCCAGCCGCCGCCGUAA